GGUUAAGCGACUAAGCGUACACGGUGGAUGCCCUGGCAGUCAGAGGCGAUGAAGGACGUGCUAAUCUGCGAAAAGCGUCGGUAAGGUGAUAUGAACCGUUAUAACCGGCGAUGUCCGAAUGGGGAAACCCAGUGCAAUUCGUUGCACUAUCGUUAACUGAAUACAUAGGUUAACGAGGCGAACCGGGGGAACUGAAACAUCUAAGUACCCCGAGGAAAAGAAAUCAACCGAGAUUCCCCCAGUAGCGGCGAGCGAACGGGGAGCAGCCCAGAGUCUGAAUCAGCUUGUGUGUUAGUGGAACGGUCUGGAAAGUCCGACGGUACAGGGUGAUAGUCCCGUACACCAAAAUGCACAGGUUGUGAACUCGAAGAGUAGGGCGGGACACGUGGUAUCCUGUCUGAAUAUGGGGGGACCAUCCUCCAAGGCUAAAUACUCCUGACUGACCGAUAGUGAACCAGUACCGUGAGGGAAAGGCGAAAAGAACCCCGGCGAGGGGAGUGAAAAAGAACCUGAAACCGUGUACGUACAAGCAGUGGGAGCACCUUCGGGUGUGACUGCGUACCUUUUGUAUAAUGGGUCAGCGACUUAUAUUCUGUAGCAAGGUUAACCGUAUAGGGGAGCCGCAGGGAAACCGAGUCUUAACUGGGCGUUAAGUUGCAGGGUAUAGACCCGAAACCCGGUGAUCUAGCCAUGGGCAGGUUGAAGGUUGGGUAACACUAACUGGAGGACCGAACCGACUAAUGUUGAAAAAUUAGCGGAUGACUUGUGGCUGGGGGUGAAAGGCCAAUCAAACCGGGAGAUAGCUGGUUCUCCCCGAAAGCUAUUUAGGUAGCGCCUCGUGAAUUCAUCUUCGGGGGUAGAGCACUGUUUCGGCUAGGGGGUCAUCCCGACUUACCAACCCGAUGCAAACUACGAAUACCGAAGAAUGUUAUCACGGGAGACACACGGCGGGUGCUAACGUCCGUCGUGAAGAGGGAAACAACCCAGACCGCCAGCUAAGGUCCCAAAGUCAUGGUUAAGUGGGAAACGAUGUGGGAAGGCACAGACAGCCAGGAUGUUGGCUUAGAAGCAGCCAUCAUUUAAAGAAAGCGUAAUAGCUCACUGGUCGAGUCGGCCUGCGCGGAAGAUGUAACGGGGCUAAACCAUGCACCGAAGCUGCGGCAGCGACACUAUGUGUUGUUGGGUAGGGGAGCGUUCUGUAAGCCUGCGAAGGUGUGCUGUGAGGCAUGCUGGAGGUAUCAGAAGUGCGAAUGCUGACAUAAGUAACGAUAAAGCGGGUGAAAAGCCCGCUCGCCGGAAGACCAAGGGUUCCUGUCCAACGUUAAUCGGGGCAGGGUGAGUCGACCCCUAAGGCGAGGCCGAAAGGCGUAGUCGAUGGGAAACAGGUUAAUAUUCCUGUACUUGGUGUUACUGCGAAGGGGGGACGGAGAAGGCUAUGUUAGCCGGGCGACGGUUGUCCCGGUUUAAGCAUGUAGGCUGAUUAUCCAGGCAAAUCCGGAUAAUCAAGGCUGAGGUGUGAUGACGAGGCACUACGGUGCUGAAGUAACAAAUGCCCUGCUUCCAGGAAAAGCCUCUAAGCAUCAGGUAACAUCAAAUCGUACCCCAAACCGACACAGGUGGUCAGGUAGAGAAUACCAAGGCGCUUGAGAGAACUCGGGUGAAGGAACUAGGCAAAAUGGUGCCGUAACUUCGGGAGAAGGCACGCUGGUGUGUAGGUGAAGCCCCUGCGGGUGGAGCUGAGACCAGUCGAAGAUACCAGCUGGCUGCAACUGUUUAUUAAAAACACAGCACUGUGCAAACACGAAAGUGGACGUAUACGGUGUGACGCCUGCCCGGUGCCGGAAGGUUAAUUGAUGGGGUUAUCCGUAAGGAGAAGCUCUUGAUCGAAGCCCCGGUAAACGGCGGCCGUAACUAUAACGGUCCUAAGGUAGCGAAAUUCCUUGUCGGGUAAGUUCCGACCUGCACGAAUGGCGUAAUGAUGGCCAGGCUGUCUCCACCCGAGACUCAGUGAAAUUGAACUCGCUGUGAAGAUGCAGUGUACCCGCGGCAAGACGGAAAGACCCCGUGAACCUUUACUAUAGCUUGACACUGAACAUUGAGCCUUGAUGUGUAGGAUAGGUGGGAGGCUUUGAAGCGUGGACGCCAGUCUGCGUGGAGCCAACCUUGAAAUACCACCCUUUAAUGUUUGAUGUUCUAACGUUGGCCCCUGACCGGGGUUGCGGACAGUGUCUGGUGGGUAGUUUGACUGGGGCGGUCUCCUCCCAAAGCGUAACGGAGGAGCACGAAGGUUAGCUAAUCCUGGUCGGACAUCAGGAGGUUAGUGCAAUGGCAUAAGCUAGCUUGACUGCGAGCGUGACGGCGCGAGCAGGUGCGAAAGCAGGUCAUAGUGAUCCGGUGGUUCUGAAUGGAAGGGCCAUCGCUCAACGGAUAAAAGGUACUCCGGGGAUAACAGGCUGAUACCGCCCAAGAGUUCAUAUCGACGGCGGUGUUUGGCACCUCGAUGUCGGCUCAUCACAUCCUGGGGCUGAAGUAGGUCCCAAGGGUAUGGCUGUUCGCCAUUUAAAGUGGUACGCGAGCUGGGUUUAGAACGUCGUGAGACAGUUCGGUCCCUAUCUGCCGUGGGCGCUGGAGAAUUGAGGGGGGCUGCUCCUAGUACGAGAGGACCGGAGUGGACGCAUCACUGGUGUUCGGGUUGUCAUGCCAAUGGCACUGCCCGGUAGCUAAAUGCGGAAGAGAUAAGUGCUGAAAGCAUCUAAGCACGAAACUUGCCCCGAGAUGAGUUCUCCCUGAGACUUUAAGUCUCCUGAAGGAACGUUGAAGACGACGACGUUGAUAGGCCGGGUGUGUAAGCGCAGCGAUGCGUUGAGCUAACCGGUACUAAUGAACCGUGAGGCUUAACCUUAC
Molecule: ribosomal RNA, 2904 nt
Filed under: Klebsiella pneumoniae
Lineage: Bacteria; Pseudomonadati; Pseudomonadota; Gammaproteobacteria; Enterobacterales; Enterobacteriaceae
Description: 23S ribosomal RNA
Rfam family: Bacterial large subunit ribosomal RNA
Source: RNAcentral